This 267-nucleotide unclassified non-coding RNA is filed under the name Hevea brasiliensis (rubber tree). Lineage: Eukaryota; Viridiplantae; Streptophyta; Magnoliopsida; Malpighiales; Euphorbiaceae. The record is from RNAcentral.
GACGCGGUCCACCGCGGCCUCGAAAUCCUUCUUGUCGACGAUCAGUUCCUUGUCGUUGUUCUGCGGAAUGACGCGGCCGUAAUCGGGGAAUGUGCCGUCGAUCAGUUUCGAGGUCAGCACAACAUCGCCGAUGGUGAAGCGGAUCUUGCCCUGCGACAGUUCGAUCUUGAGUUCGGCCUCGUUGUCCUCGAUCAGGCGCUGCACUUCGCCGACGGUCUUGCGCGGCACGAUCACGCCCGGCAUGCCAUCGGCGCUCUUCGGCAGCGG